This is an RNA transcript of Balaenoptera ricei (Rice's whale), 3602 nucleotides long. It is a transcript of the gene named eukaryotic translation initiation factor 2 alpha kinase 2, with no coding region annotated. Lineage: Eukaryota; Metazoa; Chordata; Mammalia; Artiodactyla; Balaenopteridae. The record is from RefSeq and is a predicted model, not a curated record. The transcript is spliced from 17 exons.
GGGAGGGCGGGAGGAAGGCGGAGAGGAAGGAAGGCGGAGUCCGCGGGGAAAACGAAACCGAGAGCGACCUGCCCAGACCCCGCCGAGCUUCCGCGGACAGCAGCGGUGCGGGUGAGCGGCGAGGGGCCGGCAGCCACCGAGGCGCGCGCAUCCCGCGUCCCCAGCCCGGGACUGGACUCUGGUUACUGUAGGAAAAAAUGGCCAGUGGUCGUUCACCAUGUUUCUAUAUAGAAGAACUUAAUAAGUACCAGCAAAAGAACAGUGCAGUACUUAAGUAUCGUGAACUGUCUAAGACAGGACCUCCACAUAACUUAAGGUUUACCUAUCAAGUUACAAUAGAUGGCAAAGAAUUUCCAAAGGCUGAAGGUAGAUCAAAGAAGGAAGCCAAAAAUGCUGCAGCCAAAUUAGCUUUUGAAAUAAUUAGUAAAGAACAGAAGGCCACUAGUCCUUCAUCACUGCAGACAGGAAGUCCUUCAGAAGGACCACCCAUUGAGAAUUACAUAGGCCGUGUUAAUACGAUUUCCCAGAAGAAAAACCUAUCUGUAAUUUAUGAAGAAUGUGAAUCGAGGGACAGUGAGCCCGAAAAAUUUCAUUAUAAAUGCAAAAUUGGAGAGAAUGAAUAUGGUAUUGGUAUAGGUUCCACUAAACAGGAGGCAAGACAAUUGGCUGCUAAACUGGCUUAUGAAAAGAUACAGUCAGAAAAUUUAAUGAAAGCUGACGCAUCCUCUGGUUGUUUCAAUACUGUGUGUGGUGAUGUCCAAAGCAACUCUUCAGCAACAAACACGUCUGCUUCUGAAUCACCAUCUGAAAAUGACUUCUCAGCAAAUGAAGCGGAAAGCAAUGAUAACAGUGACUCAUUAGACAAGUCUUUCCAAUCCCCAGGGAACAGUUCCAGAAAUAAUCCCGGAAAGGUGAAGAGAUCUUUGGCACCUAGAUUUGACUCUCCUGUGGAGAGGGAAAAAAACAUGUAUACUGUGGACUCCAGGUUUAUCAGAGAUUUUACAGAAGUAACACCGCUUGACGCAGGUGGAUUUGGCCAAGUUUUCAAAGCCAAACACAGAAUUGAUGAGAAGACUUAUGUUAUUAAAUGUGUUAAAUAUAAUAACGAGAAGGUAGAGCGUGAAGUGAAAGCUUUGGCAGUGCUUGAUCAUGCAAAUAUUGUUCACUACCACAGUUGUUGGGAUGGGCUUGACUACAAUCCUGAGCAAAGCAUAAAUUCUUCAAGAUCAAAGACUAGGUGCCUUUUCAUCCAAAUGGAAUACUGUGAUAAAGGGACAUUGGAGCAAUGGAUUGACAGUAGAAGAGGCAAGGAACAAGACAAAUGUUUGGCUUUGGUAUUCUUUGAACAAAUAACAGAAGGAGUGCAUUACAUACAUUCAAAACAGUUAAUUCAUAGAGACCUUAAGCCAAGUAAUAUAUUUUUAGUAGAUAUGAACCAAAUAAAGAUUGGAGACUUUGGACUUGUAACAUACCUGAAAAAUGAUGAAGCACGGACAAGUAAACAUGGAACUAGGCGAUACAUGAGCCCAGAACAGAUUUCUUCUGUGAAAGACUAUGGAAAUGAAGUGGACAUCUUUGCUUUGGGGCUAAUUCUUGCAGAACUUCUUCACAUAUGUUCCACUUUGUCAGAAACAGUGAAGUUUUUUGAAGAUCUAAGGGAUGGCAUCUUCUCAGAUGUAUUUGACAACAAAGAAAAAAAUCUUCUACAGAAAUUACUCUCAAAUGAUCCCAAGAAACGACCUAACACAUUGGAAAUACUGAAGACUUUGAAGGAGUGGAAUAAUAUUACAGAGAAAAAGAAACGAAAUACAUGUUAGAUAAUUAAAAAGUAUCCUUCUUCUGAUACUCCAUUUUCCUAUAACUAUCUAAAGUCUGCUUGGGAAUAUUAACGUUCAGGAGGCCUGAAGUCUGAAAUGGGUUUCACUGGGCUCAAGUCAAAGUGUUGGCAGGGCCGCGCUCCUCGGGGGGCUCCCAUUCUGCAUCCCACGUUCAGCAUUACCUGAAUAGGCCCCAGCCACACAGGUCUGCUCAGGGUCACCUCAAUAGUCUUUUGUGCUCAAUGGCUCUCGGCUACGGUUUCUACCUGAAAUUCCCUUCAAUCUUUUUUUAAAUAACAGCUUUAUUGAGACAUAAUUCACAUACCAUAAAAUUCACCCCAUUUAAAGUAUACAGUUGAAUGGUGUUUAGUAUAUUCAGAGUUGUGCAACCAUCACCACAAUCAAUUUUAAAACAUUUUUGUCACCCCAAAAAGAAACCCUGUACCCAUUAGCAGCCAUUCCUCAUCUUCCUCCAACUCUAGGCAACCACUAAUCUACUUUCUAUCUCCAUAGACUUGCCUAUUCUGGACAUUUUGUUUAAAUGGAAUCAUACAGUAUGUGGUCUUUUUCACUUAGUAUGUUUUCAUCUGUGGUAUAGCAUGGAUGGAAAUUCCUUUCCCUUUUAUUGCCAAAUGAUAUUCAAUUAUAUGGAUAUAUCACAUUUAAUUCACCUAUUCAUCAGCUGAUGGACAUUUGGGUUUCUACUUUCUGGCUAGUAUGAAUAAUGUUGCAAUGAAUAUUGGUGUUAUGAGUUUUAUCUGGACAUGUUUCCAUUUCUCUUGGGUAUAACUUAAGAGUGGAAAUGCUGGGUCAUAUUGUAACUCCUUCCUCAUAACUGCAUAUCAAAGUUAUGUUCAAAGCCCAAAUUCAGUGCUGCUACCAUAGUGUUCUACCAUCUCCCACUCGGAAUGAAACUUCUCCCUAAUACUUCAGUUAUAUAGUUCUUCAGUAUUGUACCUACCAGUUUGCUUUGGAGCUCAGUUAUUCCUGCCUGGGUGUCUCCCUCCUUGUAAAUUUCUGGAACGCAGGGACAGGCUCUCUCAUUUUGAUUUGCCCCAAGGCAGCAAGUGUAUUACCCUGCAUUUAAGCAGGAACUCUAUAAGUGCUUUUGAAUUAGUAGGGAAUAAAAGUGUUAAGAAUUUCAUAUACCUGAUCCUGCAAAAUGUGUCUAAUACUAAAUAAUAAUAAUGUUCACUGUAAGAUUUCAACAAUUAAAUGUUGAUAAAUAACACUUAAAGUAAAGGUGGGCAUGGUAAACCAAUUUAGUAUAUUAAAGUCUAUUUAUUUUGAAUUUUAAAAGCUCCAGUAUUUUGGGUUUAUAUGUAGGAAAAUGAAACAUUUUAGAAAUUCUAGAUAGGACUCUGAAAAUAAACACAGUACAAUAUAAACAAAAGUAAAUGACAACAAGUAAAUUUCUGGCCUCUGGCCUGGAAAUGCAGACCACAACUCUGGUGGACUUAUGGGUUCCAUCAAGGUUAUUCCUACAUUCACAGAAUAUUUGUUCACAGACAUAUUCAAAAUACUCUAGGCCACUGGGCAGUUUGCCCUACAGUCAGUAAGAGGAGAAAAGGAAGCCAGUUCCUAACUCCAUUCUGGCUGAAAUUAUCCACAUGGCGUUGGGUCUGUCCAAAUGAAUGUUGGUUUGUUGGCUGAAAUGACAGGAAAGGAUGUGACUAUAAUUCCAAGAAGAUAUACUUUGUUUUAUCUGUUAAUACAAUGUUACGAUUUUUUAAAUGAAAAAAGUAACAAACAGUUUUAUCCAAAUAUAUAAGCUCCAAUAUUUUA